RNAcentral lists this long non-coding RNA (215 nucleotides) under Nicotiana benthamiana. RNAcentral's name for it is "long non-coding RNA (NBEN_LNC011846)". Lineage: Eukaryota; Viridiplantae; Streptophyta; Magnoliopsida; Solanales; Solanaceae. The record is from RNAcentral.
AGGACUUAAAACCUUUUUGGUCUAGUCCACAAUCGAUUGUUCACAGGCACAAUCGAUUGUCCGUGUUUUUCUGAGUUUUCAAAAACUCUCUGUUUCUUGCAGAUUUUUCAGGAGCUAAGUGUCAAAUAGUUCAACAAUCGAUUGUCCCUUUCCAACAAUCGAUUGUCAAUCAGUAAAAAUCUCAAGAUUUGUUACCAUUCUGAAUUCUGAACUCG